This is a long non-coding RNA of Anolis carolinensis (green anole), 2128 nucleotides long. The record is from Ensembl. Lineage: Eukaryota; Metazoa; Chordata; Lepidosauria; Squamata; Anolidae.
GUUAUGUGCAAUCUAUGGUUGGUUUUAAUUGUUGUUGAAUUGGACAUGUACCCCAUGGAAGCUACCCUGAGUCCCUCUGGGGAGAUGGAAUAUAAAAAAAAGUUAUUAUUAUUACUAGCUGUGCCCGGCCACGCGUUGCUGUGGCGAAGUCUGGUGGUAUGGGAAAUAAAGUAUUGAGGAAUUGGUGGUAGUUAAGGUCAAGGGUAAAGGUUUUCCCCAGACAUUAAGUCCAGUCAUGUCUGACUCUGGGGGUUGGUGCUCAUCUCCAUUUCUAAGCCAAAGAGCCGGCGUUGUCCGUAGACUCCUCCAAGGUCAUGUGGGAUGACUGCAUGGAGGGGUGUUACCUUCCCGCCGGAGCAGUACCUAUUGAUGCACUCACAUUUGCAUGUUUUUGAACUUCUGGGUUGGCAGAAGCUGGGGAUAACAGUGGGGGCUCUCUCCGCUCCCCCAAUUCAAACCUCUGGCCUUUCGGUCCAGAAGUUCAGCAGCUCAGCGCUUUAACACGCUGCGCCAUCAGGGGAUAUUAUUUCCUAAAGGUUGUGAAUAUACAAUAUUUCUGAAUGUUUUUUUUUGUUUGUUGGAGGCAAGUAUGAAUGCUGCAAUUAGGAAAAAUGAUUAGGAUGUAAUGGCCUUGCAGCUUUAAAGCCUGGCUGUUUCCUCCCUGAGUGAAUUUUUUGUUGGGAGGUGUUAGCUGGCCCUGAUUGUUUCCUGUCUGGAAUUCCCUUGUUUUCAGAGUGCUGUUGUUUGCGAUAUUUUAUGUGCUUCUACUGUCUGUGGCCCUGAGAAAACAGAGGAUUUUCCAGACUUUGAUGAUGGGAAUACUUUGUUGGGAGGUGUUAGCUGGCCCUGAUUGUUUCCUGUGUGGAAUUCCCCUGUUUAUUUACACAAUCUCUAAAAUCAGAACACUAAACAAAGAACAACACUCUGAAAACAGGGAAAUUCCAGACAGGAAACAGUCAGACCCAGCUAACACCUCCCAACAAAGUAUUCCCAUCACCAAAGUCUGGAAAAUCCUCUGUUUUCUGAGGGCCACAGCCUUUUUUUUUUUUUUUGGAAUAUGUGCGCUCAAGCACUGCAUAUGGGUACUUCUUCAUCUACACAGACAGUAGAAGCACAUAAAAUAUCGCAAAGAACAACACUCUGAAAAAAAGGGAAUUCCAGACAGGAAACAGGGCCAGCUAACACCUCCCAACAAAAAAUUCCCUCAGGGAGGAAGCAGCCAAGCUUUAAAGCUACAUGCUAAUCAUUUUGGCUAAUUACAGCAUUCAUACUUGCCUCCAACAGACAAAAAAAAAAGAACAAUCAGAAAUAUUGUAUAAUCACAAGCUUUAGGAAAUAAUAUCCCCUGAUGGUGCAGCGUGUUAAAGCACUGAGCUCCUGAACUUGUGGACCGAAAGAUCGCAGGUUCGAACUGGGCAAGCAGAGUGAGCCACCACUGUUAGCCCCAGCUUCUGCCAACCCAGAAGUCCAAAAACAUUCAAAUGUGAGUAGAUCAAUAGGUACUGCUUUGGCGGGAAGGCAACGGCACUCCAUGCAGUCAUGCCACAUGACCUUGGAGGAGUCUACGGACAACGCCAACUCUUCGGCUUAGAAAUGGAGAUAAGCACCAACCCCUACAGUCAGACAUGAUUGGACUUAAUGUCAGGGGAAAACCUUUAUCCUUUACCUUAACUACCACCAAUUCCUCAAUACUUUAUUUCCCAUACCACCAUACUUCGCCACAGCAACAUGUGGCCGGGCACAGCUAGUGGUGUUAUACCACCAUAGCAACAGAGACUCUGGAAAGUGGCUGGAUCUCCCACCCAAUCAGAUAUCAACUGACUCUCCCAAAAUGGUAUAACAGUGCAACUGAAUUUUGUAUGGGAAGUCAUAAUGUGGCAGAAGGAGGUCAAUAAUGAAGGUACCGAUUCGUAAAAAAAAAAAACACUUAUAAAACAUUUUCCCAUGGACAGAAAUAGUACAUCAUGUUGUAAGGCCCCAUCAUGCAAUUUGCCACCCCUUGUACAACUUGGUGUGGCAAUGAUAUUUCUCUAUUGAAAGAGGUGGAGUAUUUCAGUGGACUUAGGGGAACUUUCUUAGCCUUGGGGACGCAGAUUACAUAAACCUGUGAAAAUAUAACACCCAUCCC